GAGAGAGAUCACAAAGCAGAAAGCUCACAGUGGAGGAGAAGCAACAGAAUAAAGAGAAGAGACUCUACAGAGAUCUGGAGAUGAAGUCGUGGAGUCGCCUCUGCUUCCUCGUUAUAGCAAUUUCUUCAAUUUCCAGAGGACAAAAUGUCAUGACUGUUGCUCCAGAUCCUCAAGGGACCCCCAGCCCGUUACCAAGUGAAACCUCCUCGUCCCCUCAGAGUCGAACAUCGGCCAACGCAACGGAUCCAACCGUCUCCACGACCGAAGCAGAAGGAACGUCGGCCACGACGGAGCGGGUUACCGGCAGCGCCGCGGCUCAGACGACGGCGGCCUCGGGCGGUGCCACGUCACCCGAUGGAGAAGAAGUGACGUCGGCAGCCAGCAGCUUGGCGACAACAGUAACAAUUGAAGAGGCGGGUCAUUCGUCCUGGGGCUACGUGAUCCUCGUAUUGAUCCUCCUGGUGAUCAUUUUUCUGUGUGUCAUCCUCUACUUUCUCAGGAAGGUCUCCAGGACGUACUCGUUUGAGCUCCAUCGCCAGGCGCCGGCCAACCAUCUGAACGAACCCAUCGGCACCUUCGAACAAGUCUACCUGGGCGACCUGGACCGAGUGACCUCCGGUGACCUUACGCUUCCUCCCGUGACCGACGGCUCCACGGCGCCGUCGGAUUCAGCCCACAACUUCUCUCGUUCUGCUCCGCAGGAACAGCCGGACGCAAGCGGCAAGGAGGCGUCGCCCACCAGUAACACCAGUCCCUCACUGGGCCGCCGCCCGGCUAGCGACACGCCCAGUCCACUGAGCUGCACCAACAUGUUCUUCCAUGCCACUGGUGAGGAGCAGAACGAAAACAACAACCCAUCGGUUUGCUCCAGCGACUCGUUUGUUGAAAUAAACCUCGAUGAGGCGGCGUUGUGCGACCAGCUCCUCACCUCCCCUGAGGCUCCUCCUUCUUCUGUCCUCCCUUUCUCUCCGUUCUCCUUCUCCUCCUCCUCCUCCUCCUCUUCAUCAUCUUUGCACCUCCAUUGA
This 1025-nucleotide long non-coding RNA is filed under the name Cyclopterus lumpus (lumpfish). RNAcentral's name for it is "lncRNA (ENSCLMG00005016439.1)". Lineage: Eukaryota; Metazoa; Chordata; Actinopteri; Perciformes; Cyclopteridae. The record is from RNAcentral.